GACGAACGCUGGCGGCGUGCUUAACACAUGCAAGUCGAACGGAAAGGCCCUGCUUUUGUGGGGUGCUCGAGAGGCGAACGCGUGAGUAACACGUGAGUAACCUGCCCUUGACUUUGGGAUAACUUCAGGAAACUCGGGCUAUUACCGGAUAGGAGCUCCUGCUGCAUGGUGGGGGUUGGAAAGUUUCGGCGGUUGGGGAUCGAAUCGCGGCUUAUCAGCUUGUUGGUGGGGUAGUGGAUUACGAAGGCUUUGACGGGUAGCCGGCCUGGGAGGGGGACCGGCGACAUUGGGACUAAGAUACGCCGCAGACUCCUAUGGGAGGCAACAGUGGAGAGUAUGGCGCAAUGGGCGGAAGCCAGUUGCGAAAGCGCCGGGUGCGGGAUGACGGCCUACGAGGUGUAAACCGCUUUCGCCGUUGACGAAGCGUGAGUGACGGUAAUGGGUAAAGAAGCACCGGCUAACUACGUG
RNAcentral lists this ribosomal RNA (468 nucleotides) under uncultured bacterium. RNAcentral's name for it is "partial 16S ribosomal RNA". It matches the Rfam family "Bacterial small subunit ribosomal RNA", at positions 28 to 507 of the family's 1533-position model. The record is from RNAcentral.